GACGAACGCUGGCGGCGUGCUUAACACAUGCAAGUCGAACGGAAAGGCCCCUUUGGUUGUACUCUCGUUGCGAACGGGUGAGUAACACGUUAGUAACCUGCCCUUGGCUUCGGGAUAACUGCAGGAAACUGGGGCUAAUACCUGAUACGAAUCCUUGCUGCAUGGUGGGGGUGGGAGAGCUUCGGCGGUUUUGGCUGGACUCGCGGGGUAUCAGCUUGUUGGUGGGGUAGUGGCUUCCCCAGGCUAUGACGGGUAGCCGGCGUGAGAGGGCGACCGGCCACACUGGAACUGAGACACGGUACAGACUCCUACGGGAGGCAGCGGUGGGGAAUAGUGGACGAUGGGCGCAAGCCUGAUGCAGCCAUGCCGCGUGUAUGAAGAAGGCCUUCGGGUUGUAAAGUACUUUCAGCGGGGAGGAAGGGAGUAAAGUUAAUACCUGUGCUCAUUGACGUUACCCGCAGAAGAAGCACCGGCUAACUCCGUG
Molecule: ribosomal RNA, 484 nt
Filed under: uncultured bacterium
Lineage: Bacteria
Description: partial 16S ribosomal RNA
Rfam family: Bacterial small subunit ribosomal RNA
Source: RNAcentral